UGACGAGUUUGAUCCUGGCUCAGAUUGAACGCUGGCGGAAUGCUUUACACAUGCAAGUCGAACGGUAGAGGGGGCAACCCCUUGAGAGUGGCGAACGGGUGAGUAAUAUAUCGGAACGUGCCCAGUCGUGGGGGAUAACGUAGCGAAAGUUACGCUAAUACCGCAUACGAUCUAUGGAUGAAAGCGGGGGAUCGAAAGACCUCGCGCGAUUAGAGCGGCCGAUGCCUGAUUAGCUUGUUGGUGGGGUAAUGGCUCACCAAGGCAACGACGGGGUAGCCGGCCUGAGAGGGCGACCGGCCAC
This 301-nucleotide ribosomal RNA is filed under the name uncultured Comamonadaceae bacterium. RNAcentral's name for it is "partial 16S ribosomal RNA". It matches the Rfam family "Bacterial small subunit ribosomal RNA", at positions 1 to 311 of the family's 1533-position model. Lineage: Bacteria; Pseudomonadati; Pseudomonadota; Betaproteobacteria; Burkholderiales; Comamonadaceae. The record is from RNAcentral.